UCACUCGUGGUGUAACGGCAGCACGCCGGUCUCUGGUACCGGAAGUCGAGGUUCGAAUCCUUGCGGGUGAG
This 71-nucleotide transfer RNA is filed under the name Leucobacter luti. It matches the Rfam family "tRNA". From Rfam's summary of the family: Transfer RNA (tRNA) molecules are approximately 80 nucleotides in length. Their secondary structure includes four short double-helical elements and three loops (D, anti-codon, and T loops). Lineage: Bacteria; Bacillati; Actinomycetota; Actinomycetes; Micrococcales; Microbacteriaceae. The record is from Rfam by way of RNAcentral.